Molecule: microRNA, 23 nt
Filed under: Equus caballus (horse)
Lineage: Eukaryota; Metazoa; Chordata; Mammalia; Perissodactyla; Equidae
Description: eca-miR-8909
Source: miRBase by way of RNAcentral
CCUGAAAUUCUGAUGCACCUCUC